This is a non-coding RNA of Oncorhynchus mykiss (rainbow trout), 625 nucleotides long. Lineage: Eukaryota; Metazoa; Chordata; Actinopteri; Salmoniformes; Salmonidae. The record is from RefSeq and is a predicted model, not a curated record.
CAGCAUUAUGGGCGGUAGGUAACCUGAUCCCAGAUGUGUUUGUGCUCUUACAAACUCCAUUGCUGUCAUUGUCAAGCUAAACAUUUUAGAGGAGUUGGCAAGAAAACGGAAACGGACUGGCAUCAGGCAAUGUGUAGUAUUCAGACUUGAUAUCUGAGAUCUCCUAACUUUAAUCCCGUUGACAAAGUUUUUAUGUGACAGUCAGUUGUCUCUCCUCUAAACUCUUAACACUAUGGGCUUGUUUCCCAGACAUAGAUUAAGCCUAGUCCUGGACUAAAAAUCUUUUUUUAAUUGAGAAUCUUUAUUGAUGAUUAUAAACUGGACGGUUCGAGGCCUGAAUGCUGAUUGGCUGAAUGCUGUGGUAUAUCGGACCGUAUACCACGGCGACCGGCCCAGGAUUCGAACAGGCGGCCUUUCGGCUACAGGUCUAACUCCUUAACUGCUGGGCUACCUACCACCCAUACUCACAGAAAGUUUACCAACACGUUUGUUUAAACCUAAAAAGGUUCUUCAGCUGCACCAUCGAGAGCAUCCUGACUCAUUGCAUCACCGCCUGGUAUGGCAAAUGCUCGGCCUCCGAUCGCAAGGCACUACAGAGGGUAGUGCAUACGGCCCAGUACAUCAC